Lethenteron reissneri (Far Eastern brook lamprey) is the source of this 310-nucleotide long non-coding RNA. RefSeq lists it as uncharacterized. The record is from RefSeq and is a predicted model, not a curated record. NCBI's taxonomy places the organism in Eukaryota, Metazoa, Chordata, Hyperoartia, Petromyzontiformes, Petromyzontidae.
GUUGAGGCUCUGGAUGAUCUCGCUCAGCACGGUGGCCGAGUCACAGCCCACGCCGUCCAGGGCACCCACAGCCGUCAGAUGCACCGUCCCCGCAAAGCUGCGUAGGGUGGCCACGUGGUUCAGAAAAUCACAAGGGCACUGAAGCUGGCAGCGAAUUACAUUGUGAGUCUGGACCGUGGGAUUCAGCCACCUGUGUAUUAGACCAGCGCCUCCUAUCUCGUGGAUGGAGUGGGUCUCACCUACGCACACCGAAUGACCGCACUAAGAAACCCAUCACGGUGGUAAAAUAAUAAAUACAUUUCUCCAUAAA